RNAcentral lists this ribosomal RNA (402 nucleotides) under uncultured bacterium. RNAcentral describes it as "bacterial SSU rRNA". It matches the Rfam family "Bacterial small subunit ribosomal RNA", at positions 355 to 774 of the family's 1533-position model. The record is from RNAcentral.
UGGGGAAUCUUGCACAAUGGGGGCAACCCUGAUGCAGCGACGCCGCGUGAGCGAUGAAGCCCUUCGGGGCGUAAAGCUCUUUCGACCGGAACGAUAAUGACGGUACCUGCAGAAUAAGCCCCGGCAAACUUCGUGCCAGCAGCCGCGGUAAUACGAAGGGGGCUAGCGUUGUUCGGAUUUACUGGGCGUAAAGCGCACGUAGGCGGAUUGUUAAGUCAGGGGUGAAAUCCCGGAGCUCAACUCCGGAACUGCCUUUGACACUGGCAAUCUUGAGGCUGGAAGAGNUUGGUAGAAUUCCCAGUGUAGAGGUGAAAUUCGUAGAUAUUGGGAAGAAUACCAGUGGCGAAGGCGGCCAACUGGUCCAGAUCUGUCGCUGCGGUGCGAAAGCGUGGGGAGCAAGCA